GUAGGGAGUUGUUAGGGAGGCUGGGGGAGGCAGGGGUAGGAAGGGAGGUAGGGGGAGUUAGGGAGGCUGGGGGAGGCAGGGGGUGUUAGGGAGGCUGGGGGAGGCAGGGGGUUGUUAGGGAGGCUGGGGGAGGCAGGGGUAGGAAGGGAGGCAGGGGUUGUUAGGGAGGCUGGGGGAGGCAGGGGUAGGAAGGGAGGUAGGGAGUUGUUAGGGAGGCUGGGGGAGGCAGGGGUAGGAAGGGAGGUAGGGGGUGUUAGGGAGGCUGGGGAGGCAGAGGGUUGUUAGGGAGGCUGGGGUGGCAGGGGUAGGAAGGGAGGUAGGGGAGUUAGGGAGGCUGGGGGAGGCAGGGGUAGGAAGGGAGGCAGGGGGUGUUAGGGAGGCAGAAGGAGGCAGGGGGAUGAGGAAGGGGGCCUGGCAAAUUACUGCUCAGUGUCUAAU
Oncorhynchus tshawytscha (Chinook salmon) is the source of this 438-nucleotide long non-coding RNA. Lineage: Eukaryota; Metazoa; Chordata; Actinopteri; Salmoniformes; Salmonidae. The record is from Ensembl.